Molecule: ribosomal RNA, 419 nt
Filed under: Frankia sp. CcI156
Lineage: Bacteria; Bacillati; Actinomycetota; Actinomycetes; Frankiales; Frankiaceae
Description: bacterial SSU rRNA
Rfam family: Bacterial small subunit ribosomal RNA
Source: RNAcentral
UGAUGGAGAGUUUGAUCCUGGCUCAGGACGAACGCUGGCGGCGUGCUUAACACAUGCAAGUCGAGCGGGGAGCUUCGGCUCUCAGCGGCGAACGGGUGAGUAACACGUGGGCAAYCUGCCCCGAGCUCUGGAAUAACCUCGGGAAACCGGGGCUAAUGCCGGAUAUGACAUUGCCGGGCAUCUGGUGGUGUGGAAAGAUUUAUCGGCUCGGGAUGGGCCCGCGGCCUAUCAGCUUGUUGGUGGGGUGAUGGCCUACCAAGGCGACGACGGGUAGCCGGCCUGAGAGGGCGACCGGCCACACUGGGACUGAGACACGGCCCAGACUCCUACGGGAGGCAGCAGUGGGGAAUAUUGCGCAAUGGGCGGAAGCCUGACGCAGCGACGCCGCGUGGGGGAUGACGGCCUUCGGGUUGUAAACC